AUGACGGUGAUCGACAUCCUGACGCGGGUGGACGCCAUCUGCCAGAAGUACGACAAGUACGACGCCGAGAAGCUCAACGGCGCCAACGUCGCCGGCGAGGACCCCUUCGCCCGCCUCUACGGCUCCGUCGACGCGGAGAUCUCGCAGUGCGUCGAGAAAGCGGAGGCGGCGAGGCAGGAGAAGAACCGGGCCACGGUCGUCGCGCUCAACGCCGAGAUCCGCCGCGCCAAGGCCAAGCUCCUCGAGGAGGACCUGCCCAAGCUGCAGCGCCUCGCGCUCAAGAAGGUCAAAGGGCUCACAAAGGAGGAACUUGCGACCCGUAGUGAUCUGGUUGCCGCCUUACUUGAUAGAAUUCAAUCAAUACCGGAUGGUAGUUCUAGUGCGACAAAGAAAAAUGGAGGUUGGGGAGCCUCAGGAUCCCGUCCUGGUGGAGGCGUCAAGUUCGACUCUACUUCUGAUGGAAACUUUGAUGAUGAGUACUUUAAGGGGACUGAAGAAUCAAAUAAAUUUCGUCAGGAAUAUGAGAUGCGUAGAAUGAAGCAGGAUGAAGGUUUGGAUGUUAUCGGUGAAGGGCUGGCAACUCUGAAGAACAUGGCGUCGGAUAUGAAUGAGGAAUUGGAUAGGCAAGUUCCCUUGAUGGAUGAAAUGGAUGACAAGGUGGAUAGAGCCAAUGCAGAUCUGAAGAAUACCAACGUGAGGCUAAAGCAGACCAUUCUUCAGAUGAGAUCCAGUCGCAACUUCUGCGUCGACAUUAUCCUGCUCUGUAUCAUACUUGGUAUCGCUGCCUACCUUUACAAUGUGCUCAAGAAGUGA
Molecule: ribosomal RNA, 813 nt
Filed under: Triticum aestivum (bread wheat)
Lineage: Eukaryota; Viridiplantae; Streptophyta; Magnoliopsida; Poales; Poaceae
Description: partial small subunit ribosomal RNA
Source: RNAcentral